RNAcentral lists this ribosomal RNA (1346 nucleotides) under uncultured bacterium. RNAcentral's name for it is "partial 16S ribosomal RNA". It matches the Rfam family "Bacterial small subunit ribosomal RNA", at positions 28 to 1381 of the family's 1533-position model. The record is from RNAcentral.
GACGAACGCUGGCGGCGUGCUUAACACAUGCAAUUCGAACGGAAAGGCCCUGCUUUUGUGGGGUGCUCGAGUGGCGAACGGGUGAGUAACACGUGAGUAACCUGCCCUUGACUUUGGGAUAACUUCAGGAAACUGGGGCUAAUACCGGAUAGGAGCUCCUGCUGCAUGGUGGGGGUUGGAAAGUUUCGGCGGUUGGGGAUGGACUCGCGGCUUAUCAGCUUGUUGGUGGGGUAGUGGCUUACCAAGGCUUUGACGGGUAGCCGGCCUGAGAGGGUGACCGGCCACAUUGGGACUGAGAUACGGCCCAGACUCCUACGGGAGGCAGCAGUGGGGAAUAUUGCACAAUGGGCGGAAGCCUGAUGCAGCAACGCCGCGUGCGGGAUGACGGCCUUCGGGUUGUAAACCGCUUUCGCCUGUGACGAAGCGUGAGUGACGGUAAUGGGUAAAGAAGCACCGGCUAACUACGUGCCAGCAGCCGCGGUGAUACGUAGGGUGCGAGCGUUGUCCGGAUUUAUUGGGCGUAAAGGGCUCGUAGGUGGUUGAUCGCGUCGGAAGUGUAAUCUUGGGGCUUAACCCUGAGCGUGCUUUCGAUACGGGUUGACUUGAGGAAGGUAGGGGAGAAUGGAAUUCCUGGUGGAGCGGUGGAAUGCGCAGAUAUCAGGAGGAACACCAGUGGCGAAGGCGGUUCUCUGGGCCUUUCCUGACGCUGAGGAGCGAAAGCGUGGGGAGCGAACAGGCUUAGAUACCCUGGUAGUCCACGCUGUAAACGGUGGGUACUAGGUGUGGGGUCCAUUCCACGGGUUCCGUGCCGUAGCUAACGCUUUAAGUACCCCGCCUGGGGAGUACGGCCGCAAGGCUAAAACUCAAAGGAAUUGACGGGGCCCCGCACAAGCGGCGGAGCAUGCGGAUUAAUUCGAUGCAACGCGUAGAACCUUACCUGGGUUUGACAUGGAUCGGGAGUGCUCAGAGAUGGGUGUGCCUCUUUUGGGGUCGGUUCACAGGUGGUGCAUGCCUGUCGUCAGCUCGUGUCGUGAGAUGUUGGGUUAAGUCCCGCAACGAGCGCAACCCUUGUUCACUGUUGCCAGCACGUUAUGGUGGGGACUCAGUGGAGACCGCCGGGGUCAACUCGGAGGAAGGUGGUGAUGACGUCAAGUCAUCAUGCCCCUUAUGUCCAGGGCUUCACGCAUGCUACAAUGGCUGGUACAGAGAGUGGCGAGCCUGUGAGGGUGAGCGAAUCUCGGAAAGCCGGUCUCAGUUCGGAUUGGGGUCUGCAACUCGACCUCAUGAAGUCGGAGUCGCUAGUAAUCGCAGAUCAGCAACGCUGCGGUGAAUACGUUCCCGGGGCU